Molecule: ribosomal RNA, 254 nt
Filed under: uncultured bacterium
Lineage: Bacteria
Description: partial 16S ribosomal RNA
Rfam family: Bacterial small subunit ribosomal RNA
Source: RNAcentral
UACGGAGGGGGCUAGCGUUGUUCGGGAUUACUGGGCGUAAAGGGCGCGUAGGCGGUUCGGUAAGUUAGGCGUGAAAGGCCCGGGCUCAACCCGGGAACUGCGCUUAAGACUGCCGGGCUGUGAGUCCGGGAGAGGAUGGCGGAAUUCCCAGUGUAGAGGUGAAAUUCGUAGAUAUUGGGAAGAACACCAGUGGCGAAGGCGGCCAUCUGGCCCGGUACUGACGCUGAGGCGCGAAAGCGUGGGGAGCAAACAGG